RNAcentral lists this ribosomal RNA (578 nucleotides) under uncultured bacterium. RNAcentral describes it as "bacterial SSU rRNA". It matches the Rfam family "Bacterial small subunit ribosomal RNA", at positions 338 to 916 of the family's 1533-position model. The record is from RNAcentral.
CCUACGGGAGGCAGCAGUAAGGAAUAUUGGUCAAUGGUGGCAACACUGAACCAGCCAUGCCGCGUGAAGGAUGAAGGCGCUCUGCGUUGUAAACUUCUUUUAAGUGGGAAGAAAAACUCAUAUUCAUAUGAGCCUGACGGUACCACUGGAAUAAGCACCGGCUAACUCCGUGCCAGCAGCCGCGGUAAUACGGAGGGUGCAAGCGUUAUCCGGAAUCACUGGGUUUAAAGGGUACGUAGGCGGUCUGUUAAGUCAGUCGUGAAAGUUUGUCGCUUAACGAUAAAAUUGCGAUUGAUACUGGCGGACUAGAAUGUAGUAGAGGCUGGCGGAAUGAGACAAGUAGCGGUGAAAUGCUUAGAUAUGUCUCAGAACACCGAUUGCGAAGGCAGCUGGCUAUGCUAUUAUUGACGCUGAGGUACGAAAGUGUGGGUAGCAAACAGGAUUAGAUACCCUGGUAGUCCACACCCUAAACGAUGUUCACUAUCUGUUGGCGAUAUACUGUCAGUGGAAAAGCGAAAGCGGUAAGCGAACCACCUGGGGAGUACGUUCGCAAGAAUGAAACUCAAAGGAAUUGACGG